RNAcentral lists this ribosomal RNA (429 nucleotides) under bacterium. RNAcentral describes it as "partial 16S ribosomal RNA". It matches the Rfam family "Bacterial small subunit ribosomal RNA", at positions 355 to 776 of the family's 1533-position model. The record is from RNAcentral.
UAGGGAAUCUUCGGCAAUGGGGGCAACCCUGACCGAGCAACGCCGCGUGAGUGAAGAAGGUUUUCGGAUCGUAAAGCUCUGUUGUAAGAGAAGAACGUGUGUGAGAGUGGAAAGUUCACACAGUGACGGUAACUUACCAGAAAGGGACGGCUAACUACGUGCCAGCAGCCGCGGUAAUACGUAGGUCCCUAGCGUUGUCCGGCUUUAUUGGGCGUAAAGCGAGCGCAGGCGGUUUAAUAAGUCUGAAGUUAAAGGCAGUGGCUUAACCAUUGUUCGCUUUGGAAACUGUUAAACUUGAGUGCAGAAGGGGAGAGUGGAAUUCCAUGUGUAGCGGUGAAAUGCGUAGAUAUAUGGAGGAACACCGGUGGCGUAAGCGGCUCUCUGGUCUGUAACUGACGCUGAGGCUCGAAAGCGUGGGGAGCAAACAGG